UGGGGAAUAUUGGACAAUGGGCGAAAGCCUGAUCCAGCCAUGCCGCGUGAGUGACGAAGGCCUUAGGGUUGUAAAACUCUUUCGUCGGGGACGAUAAUGACGUUACCCGAAGAAGAAGCUCCGGCUAACUUCGUGCCAGCAGCCGCGGUAAUACGAAGGGAGCUAGCGUUGUUCGGAAUCACUGGGCGUAAAGCGCACGUAGGCGGAUAGUUAAGUCAGGGGUGAAAUCCUGGGGCUCAACCCCAGAACUGCCUUUGAUACUGGCUGUCUCGAGGUCGAGAGAGGUUGGUGGAAUUCCUAGUGUAGAGGUGAAAUUCGUAGAUAUUAGGAAGAACACCAGUGGCGAAGGCGGCCAACUGGCUCGAUACUGACGCUGAGGUGCGAAAGCGUGGGGAGCAAACAGGAUUAGAUACCCACGUAGUCCCUGAGCGGGCUGGCAAGGCGCAU
This 447-nucleotide ribosomal RNA is filed under the name uncultured bacterium. RNAcentral's name for it is "bacterial SSU rRNA". It matches the Rfam family "Bacterial small subunit ribosomal RNA", at positions 355 to 825 of the family's 1533-position model. The record is from RNAcentral.